Molecule: ribosomal RNA, 514 nt
Filed under: uncultured bacterium
Lineage: Bacteria
Description: partial 16S ribosomal RNA
Rfam family: Bacterial small subunit ribosomal RNA
Source: RNAcentral
GAUGAACGCUGGCGGCGUGCCUAAUACAUGCAAGUCGAGCGAACAGAUGAGAAGCUUGCUUCUCUGAUGUUAGCGGCGGACGGGUGAGUAACACGUGGGUAACCUACCUAUAAGACUGGGAUAACUCCGGGAAACCGGGGCUAAUACCGGAUAAUAUUUUGAACCGCAUGGUUCAAUAGUGAGAGACGGUUUCGGCUGUCACUUAUAGAUGGACCCGCGCCGUAUUAGCUAGUUGGUAAGGUAACGGCUUACCAAGGCGACGAUACGUAGCCGACCUGAGAGGGUGAUCGGCCACACUGGAACUCAGCCACGGUCCAGACUCCUACGGGAGGCAGCAGUAGGGAAUCUUCCGCAAUGGGCGAAAGCCUGACGGAGCAACGCCGCGUGAGUGAUGAAGGUCUUCGGAUCGUAAAACUCUGUUGUUAGGGAAGAACAAAUUUGUUAGUAACUGAACAAGUCUUGACGGUACCUAACCAGAAAGCCACGGCUAACUACGUGCCAGCCGCCGCGGUAA